UACGGGGGGAGCAAGCGUUGUUCGGAUUUACUGGGCGUAAAGGGCGCGUAGGCGGCCACCGCAAGUCGACUGUGAAAUCUCCGGGCUUAACCCGGAAAGGUCAGCCGAUACUGCGGGGCUAGAGUGCAGAAGGGGCAACUGGAAUUCCGGGUGGAGUGGUGAAAUGCGUAGAGAUCCGGAGGAACACCAGAGGCGAAGGCGGCGCGCUGGGCUGCACCUGACGCUGAGACGCGAAGGCGUGGGGAGCGAACGGG
RNAcentral lists this ribosomal RNA (254 nucleotides) under uncultured bacterium. RNAcentral describes it as "partial 16S ribosomal RNA". It matches the Rfam family "Bacterial small subunit ribosomal RNA", at positions 524 to 776 of the family's 1533-position model. The record is from RNAcentral.